AACCUGGCGCUGCCCUUACACAUGCAAGUCGAACGGCCAGCAUGAUCUAGCCUUGCUAGAUUGAUGGCGAGUGGCGAACGGGUGAGUAAUACAUCGGAACGUGCCCUGUAGUGGGGGAUAACUAGUCGAAAGAUUAGCUAAUACCGCAUACGACCUGAGGGUGAAAGUGGGGGACCGCAAGGCCUCAUGCUAUAGGAGCGGCCGAUGUCUGAUUAGCUAGUUGGUGGGGUAAAGGCCCACCAAGGCGACGAUCAGUAGCUGGUCUGAGAGGACGAUCAGCCACACUGGGACUGAGACACGGCCCAGACUCCUACGGGAGGCAGCAGUGGGGAAUUUUGGACAAUGGGCGAAAGCCUGAUCCAGCAAUGCCGCGUGUGUGAAGAAGGCCUUCGGGUUGUAAAGCACUUUUGUCCGGAAAGAAAUGGCUCUGGUUAAUACCUGGGGUCGAUGACGGUACCGGAAGAAUAAGGACCGGCUAACUACGUGCCAGCAGCCGCGGUAAUACGUAGGGUCCAAGCGUUAAUCGGAAUUACUGGGCGUAAAGCGUGCGCAGGCGGUUGUGCAAGACCGAUGUGAAAUCCCCGAGCUUAACUUGGGAAUUGCAUUGGUGACUGCACGGCUAGAGUGUGUCANAGGGGGGUAGAAUUCCACGUGUAGCANUGAAAUGCGUANAGAUGUGGAGGAAUACCGAUGGCGAAGGCAGCCCCCUGGGAUAACACUGACGCUCAUGCACGAAAGCGUGGGGAGCAAACAGGAUUAGAUACCCUGGUAGUCCACGCCCUAAACGAUGUCAACUAGUUGUUGGGGAUUCAUUUCCUUAGUAACGUAGCUAACGCGUGAAGUUGACCGCCUGGGGAGUAC
This 861-nucleotide ribosomal RNA is filed under the name uncultured bacterium. RNAcentral's name for it is "bacterial SSU rRNA". It matches the Rfam family "Bacterial small subunit ribosomal RNA", at positions 32 to 883 of the family's 1533-position model. The record is from RNAcentral.